This 397-nucleotide ribosomal RNA is filed under the name Escherichia coli BCE001_MS16. Its description in RNAcentral is "partial 23S ribosomal RNA". Lineage: Bacteria; Pseudomonadati; Pseudomonadota; Gammaproteobacteria; Enterobacterales; Enterobacteriaceae. The record is from RNAcentral.
UGCAAAUAGUCGGUGGUGAUAAACUUAUCAUCCCCUUUUGCUGAUGGAGCUGCACAUGAACCCAUUCAAAGGCCGGCAUUUUCAGCGUGACAUCAUUCUGUGGGCCGUACGCUGGUACUGCAAAUACGGCAUCAGUUACCGUGAGCUGCAGGAGAUGCUGGCUGAACGCGGAGUGAAUGUCGAUCACUCCACGAUUUACCGCUGGGUUCAGCGUUAUGCGCCUGAAAUGGAAAAACGGCUGCGCUGGUUCUGGCGUAUUGCUCCGCUCUUUGCCCGUGUCCGAUGGAUGCACCGGCACUGUUGCAAAGUUAGCGAUGAGGCAGCCUUUUGUCUUAUUCAAAGGCCUUACAUUUCAAAAACUCUGCUUACCAGGCGCAUUUCGCCCAGGGGAUCACCA